AAAGCGAGUUUUAACUGAGCGUUCAGUUACUUGACGUAGACCCGAAACCGGGCGACCUACCCAUGAGCAGGAUGAAGCGAAAGUAAAAUUUCGUGGAGGUCCGAACCCACGAGCGUUGAAAAGCUCGGGGAUGACUUGUGGGUAGCGGUGAAAUUCCAAUCGAGCCCGGAGAUAGCUGGUUCUCCCCGAAAUAGCUUUAGGGCUAGCCUCAAGGUGAGAGAUACGGAGGUAGAGCACUGAAUGUCCUAGGGGGUAUUGCACCUACCGAAGACUAUCAAACUCCGAAUGCCGUCAUCUUAUACUUGGGAGUCAGACUGUGGGUGAUAAGAUUCAUAGUCGAAAGGGCAA
RNAcentral lists this ribosomal RNA (348 nucleotides) under Clostridioides difficile. Its description in RNAcentral is "partial 23S ribosomal RNA". It matches the Rfam family "Bacterial large subunit ribosomal RNA", at positions 674 to 1022 of the family's 2925-position model. The record is from RNAcentral. Lineage: Bacteria; Bacillati; Bacillota; Clostridia; Peptostreptococcales; Peptostreptococcaceae.